CUUAUAUGGCAGUAUCCAGUCACUCUUCGGACUUAACCUAGAUCUUGACAUCCUCCGCCUGACGUUUUCACACCGCAUUCCCUCGUGGGACGGGCAAACCGCUCCAGUGCCAAGAGGAAGAGACUCAAAAUGACGAAAUCCAGACAGGAAGAUGCUGGGGGCAGAGGACUGAGGAAGUGUAAAGCCCUUGUGCUCAGCUGGCUCCAGAGGGCCUCAGCGGUCUCUUGUCUCAUGAAGGCUUGCUUCUCUGCCUCCAAGUUCCCAAGGCAGAAGCGUGGAUCCCACAUCCCUCUCUCAGCGUACUUCUCAGGCUGGGUUCUGGAACCGAAAUAAGAGUCCCCUAUGGUGCUUUAUUUUUUUGGGCUCCAAAUCCACUGCAGAUAGUGAUUGCAGCCAUGAAAUUAAAAGAUGCUUACUCCUUGAA
Cervus elaphus (red deer) is the source of this 424-nucleotide long non-coding RNA. RefSeq lists it as uncharacterized. The transcript has 3 exons. The record is from RefSeq and is a predicted model, not a curated record. NCBI's taxonomy places the organism in Eukaryota, Metazoa, Chordata, Mammalia, Artiodactyla, Cervidae.